UACGUAGGGUGCGAGCGUUGUCCGGAAUUACUGGGCGUAAAGAGCUCGUAGGUGGUUUGUCGCGUUGUCCGUGAAAACUCACAACUCAACUGUGGGCGUGCGGGCGAUACGGGCAGACUGGAGUACUGCAGGGGAGACUGGAAUUCCUGGUGUAGCGGUGGAAUGCGCAGAUAUCAGGAGGAACACCGGUGGCGAAGGCGGGUCUCUGGGCAGUAACUGACGCUGAGGAGCGAAAGCGUGGGGAGCGAACAGG
Molecule: ribosomal RNA, 253 nt
Filed under: uncultured bacterium
Lineage: Bacteria
Description: partial 16S ribosomal RNA
Rfam family: Bacterial small subunit ribosomal RNA
Source: RNAcentral